This 232-nucleotide ribosomal RNA is filed under the name uncultured bacterium. RNAcentral describes it as "partial 16S ribosomal RNA". It matches the Rfam family "Bacterial small subunit ribosomal RNA", at positions 118 to 350 of the family's 1533-position model. The record is from RNAcentral.
UGGGCAACCUGCCCCUCUCUCUGGGAUAACCCCGGGAAACCGGAGCUAAUACCGGAUACUCCGGCUGGAUCGCAUGGUCCGGCCGGGAAAGGUCCGCCGGUCAGGGAUGGGCCCGCGGCCUAUCAGCUUGUUGGUGAGGUAAUGGCUCACCAAGGCGACGACGGGUAGCCGGCCUGAGAGGGUGACCGGCCACACUGGGACUGAGACACGGCCCAGACUCCUACGGGAGGCA